Armigeres subalbatus is the source of this 921-nucleotide long non-coding RNA. RefSeq lists it as uncharacterized. The record is from RefSeq and is a predicted model, not a curated record. Lineage: Eukaryota; Metazoa; Arthropoda; Insecta; Diptera; Culicidae. The transcript has 2 exons.
CUCUUUAUGAUUUUUGUACAUAAUUAAUUAUUUAACUCUAUGAUGGUAAAUUAACUUAAAAGAAAUUAAAAUUAGAACUAAGCAUAAAUUGAACUGAACCUAAAAUAAUAAUUGAACUUGAAAUAAAACAUAUAUAAAUAUCGAUACCCUUAUCCACCUGAACACCCCAAUUCCCCGAUCAACACUGCACCCGUCAUUAUCAAGCCACAGUAAAUCCUAACUGCCGUGCACGCUCCCACACACUGAGAGCGCACCCCAUAAAACCGGUUGUCAUCGCUGGAACCAGGAUCAGAAGGGAACAAAUUUGACCCGUGCCAGGACAACUGAGUGGAAAAGUGCGCCUUUCGUUAAGGGCCAGAAAAUCGCUGUUCGCGGGUGAGCAUAUCACCAAGAGUGCCCCAUCCGUUGUGCCCUGAAGAAGAAACCACCAGGGGAGAGUGAAGAAACGCUAGAAGAAGCCGCCGGUUGUGAUUAAGCUCGGCAGAUCAGUGAUAGUGACCAAGGAACCGUUUUUGAUUCGUCCGGUUGCUUCACCGCCCCCUCGCAAGAACAGAGCCGACUAGGGUGCCACGUUUUCGGCGGAACCGUGUGUGCUGCGCUUCGUCCGGUUAGUUGCCCCUCCGCCAAAUAAAAGCCAGCUGGUGUAUUACGUUUUCGACAAGCGGCUUUUGUGUGUAAAGCAAAAAGAACAAAGACGAGCCUCCCAGCUAUGACAGCGGACACUAGGUUCAUGUGUUCAGGACACCGCCAUCGCUUAACUCGGAAGUCAUCGUGCCAAGGACCGCCUAAAGGUUCCAUUCAUCUUCAGAUGGACUGGUAAUAUGUAAUACCCUCCCAUUUAUCCCUUUCCGCAUCCAUUCCUAAGAAUGUACCAAAAGUAUGAUAAUUAAGAAUAUAAUUAAAUAAUGUUAAGUUAAAUUA